Callithrix jacchus (white-tufted-ear marmoset) is the source of this 1610-nucleotide long non-coding RNA. Lineage: Eukaryota; Metazoa; Chordata; Mammalia; Primates; Cebidae. The record is from Ensembl.
UACUUUUUUUCAUUGAAUGUCCCGGUUUCUGGAUUUGUCUGAUAGUUUUCUCAUGAUUAACUUCGGAUUAAAUAUAUAGGACAAGAAUACAAAAUCAAUAAUGUUGUAUACUUUCAAUGGUAGCAAUGAUUUCCAGUAUAUCAAAAUUAUCCACAUGAAGUGGUGGAUACAAAAUGCCACUGUUCCUUUCCAAAAUGUAAUAUAAUCAUUAUAGUCACUGGUCAGGUACUAAAUUGGGUGCUGUACAUAUAUUAUUUGCAUUCUCGGGCUGGGCGCGGUGGCUCAAGCCUGUAAUCCCAGCACUUUGGGAGGCCGAGGCGGGUGGAUCACGAGGUCAAGAGAUCGAGACCAUCCUGGUCAACAUGGUGAAACCCCGUCUCUACUAAAAAUACAAAAAAUUAGCUGGACAUGGUGGUGCGUGCCUGUAAUCACAGCUACUCAGGAGGCUGAGGCAGGAGAAUUGCCUGAACCCAGGAGGCGGAGGUUGCGGUGAGCCGAGAUUGUGCCAUUGCACUCCAGCCUGGGAAACAAGAGCAAAACUCCGUCUCAAAAAAAAAAAAAAAAAGAAUUAUUUGCAUUCUCAAAACAAUCCAGUAAGGCAUUAUGGAUACAAUUUUACAUACAAAUCCAGUGUUAGAGGUAACUGCUGCCCGACACCCAUUUUUUUCUUGUUUAGUAGCAUAAUUCUGAUUGCACUGGUAACUGACAAUGUACCUAGUUAAAAUCCUAAAUCUCUACCCUCUCUCAUAUAGUUAGAAGAGGCCAUGUGAUCACAUUCUGUUCACUGAGAUGUCAGUGAAGUAUUGCUGGAGAUUUCUGGGAAGUCUUUUAAAGGAACUUAGCUGGGCUUCUGACUGUCUCCUUUUGAUUCUUCCUGCCUCCUGCACCAUGGAAGUGGUACCUCCAGCUCCAGGAGCCAUAUUGGACCUUGAGGAUCAUAGCUCACUGUAGCCUCAAAGUCCUGGCAGCCCCAAGUGAUCAUCCUGGACUGUGGGCUCCCACCCGGCUCAACUCUUCUUGUCUAUCUUUCUAAACACGAAGCGAUGGGUAAGCUGCUACUUUGUAUUGUUAAAACACAUUUGCCAAGGGUUUCUUAGUGAAAACCUUGUGAUUCUUAGGUUCAGCUGUAAAUCAAGUUUGAGUCGAAGAACUUGGGGCCCAUAACCUGACAGAUUCAAAACCAUUACCACACAUUUAUUUAAAAUAACUUUAUUUUUUUGCCAUUUCUGUGACUUCUGUGAUUUCUGCCACAUAUAUCUAUAUCCUAUCUAUCUCUCUGUGUAUCUGUACUUUUCUCUUUCAUAUCUUUCACUUUUUAUACUGCUUGCCCGAAAUUACUCCACAUUAUCUUUACCUGGGCUGACCCCAUCAUUCCAACAAGGGACUGGGGCUUGGUGGUGUGAGAGAUUUGCAGCCUCGCAGUCUUUCUAAUUUGGCUUCCGGCUGAGGUGGGUUUUGUUUGCCUGAGUUUAUUUUUCUUUCUACCUUCUGUUUAUAACAAGCAAUACCGUCAAGCCACGUAUGGUGAUGGUAAGAAUAUAAGCUUUCUGUUUAAAAUGAGCCACCGAAAAGAAAAAAUAAAGGAUACCGUAUUUACAUUCAAAAACAGU